CUAGCCGUAAACGAUGGGCACUUGGUAGCGGCAGUUACCGACACUGUCGCUGCUGGAGCUAAUGUAUUAAGUGCCCCGCCUGGGGAGUAUGCUCGCAAGGGUGAAACUCAAAGGAAUUGACGGGGGCUCACACAAGCGGUGGAGCAUGUUGUUUAAUUCGAGGCUACGCGAAGAACCUUACCUGGGUUUGAAGCGAUAGGUAUAAGCGCGUCGAAAGAUGUGUGAUUGCCCUUCGGGGUGUAACCUAUCACAGGUGC
RNAcentral lists this ribosomal RNA (257 nucleotides) under uncultured bacterium. Its description in RNAcentral is "partial 16S ribosomal RNA". It matches the Rfam family "Bacterial small subunit ribosomal RNA", at positions 796 to 1041 of the family's 1533-position model. The record is from RNAcentral.